GACGAACGCUGGCGGCGUGCUUAACACAUGCAAGUCGAACGGACAGACAGAGAGCUUGCUCUCUUGAAGUUAGUGGCGAACGGGUGAGUAACGCGUAAUCAACCUGCCCUUCAGGGGGGGAUAACAACGGGAAACCGUUGCUAAUACCGCGUACGAUUCAUGAACGGCAUCGUUUAUGAAUGAAAGGUGGCCUCUAUGUAUAAGCUAUCGCUGAAGGAGGGGAUUGCGUCUGAUUAGCUAGUUGGAGGGGUAACGGCCCACCAAGGCAAUGGUCAGUAGCCGGUCUGAGAGGAUGAACGGCCACAUUGGGACUGAGACACGGCCCAAACUCCUACGGGAGGCAGCAGUGGGGAAUCUUCCGCAAUGGACGAAAGUCUGACGGAGCAACGCCGCGUGAGUGAUGAAGGUCUUCGGAUUGUAAAGCUCUGUUAAUCGGGACGAAAGAGUUCUGCGUGAAUAAUGCAGAAAAGUGACGGUACCGGAAUAGAAAGCCACGGCUAACUACGUGCCAGCAGCCGCAGUAA
RNAcentral lists this ribosomal RNA (524 nucleotides) under uncultured bacterium. RNAcentral describes it as "partial 16S ribosomal RNA". It matches the Rfam family "Bacterial small subunit ribosomal RNA", at positions 28 to 523 of the family's 1533-position model. The record is from RNAcentral.